This 361-nucleotide ribosomal RNA is filed under the name Ampithoe geographe. RNAcentral's name for it is "partial large subunit ribosomal RNA". Lineage: Eukaryota; Metazoa; Arthropoda; Malacostraca; Amphipoda; Ampithoidae. The record is from RNAcentral.
UUGAAUACUGGAAUGAAUGAUURUACAGUUAAAUUUUUUCUUUUUAUUUUUUAGUAAUUUAGAGUUUUAGUUAAAAUUCUAAAAUUAAUUAAAAAGACGAUAAGACCCUAAAAGCUUUAUUUUAUUUAUUUAUAUAUUAAGUAAGUAUAUUUUUUACUGGGGUAGUUUUUUUAUUUAUUUUAAUAAAUUAAACUAUUAGUUUUAUAUUCCUUAAUAUUAGGAUUUAAAUGAGUUACUUUAGGGAUAACAGCAUAAUAUUGUUGAAGAGAACAUAUCUAUAAUAAUGAUUAUGACCUCGAUGUUGAAUUAAUAUAUCUUUUUAAAGUAGAUUUUAGAUAAGAGGGUUUGUUCAACCUUUAAU